AUGAGCAGGAGCUCGUUGCUUGGAGUCUGCGACAGAAGAGCACCAAACAUUAGUUGGGACGAAUUCUACAACUUGCAACAGACAAGGUUCGCCAGAAAUCAACACGAGCAACUAAUCAGAGGACUAUUACAUAUUGCCCAGACCACCACUGUAGAGGAUUAUGUAGAGAGGUUUGUUGAAUUAUAUGAUCAUUUGAUUGCAUGUGAGAUUGUUCCUGACCCACCACACCAUGUUACUCGAUUCCUAGAUGGACUGAAACCGGCUGUGAAGGUUCAAGUGGCAAUUCAAAAACCCCGAGAUCCGGAUACUGGUUAUGAAUUAGCCUUGUUGUUAGAGGAGAUUUGA
RNAcentral lists this ribosomal RNA (345 nucleotides) under Triticum aestivum (bread wheat). Its description in RNAcentral is "partial small subunit ribosomal RNA". Lineage: Eukaryota; Viridiplantae; Streptophyta; Magnoliopsida; Poales; Poaceae. The record is from RNAcentral.